Molecule: long non-coding RNA, 3964 nt
Organism: Pyrus x bretschneideri (Chinese white pear)
Lineage: Eukaryota; Viridiplantae; Streptophyta; Magnoliopsida; Rosales; Rosaceae
Exons: 3
Source: RefSeq, a predicted model, not a curated record
CCCCCAUCCUUUCCUUUUCUCGCUCUGAGCUCAUUUCCUACAACCCUAUCAAAUUCGAGAGACUUCUCUCUCAUUUCCUAUCAAAUUCGAGAGACUUCUCUCUCCAUUUCUCUCAAUCUAGCCCCAGCGCUGCUCACCCCAUUCCUCUUCAUCAUCUCAGUUAAAUCCGUUGAACAAUCACUGAUGCACCUCCACGCGAACCCAUAUCGAAUUUUCCUCCUGCCCACGAACCAACCUCCAUUUCGUGGAUCCACCGUCCUUGCAAGUCGCCGACACCCACAAAUGAACUCAGAUACGACCAUCAAAAGUAGGGCGGAGCUCUCGAAGAUGUCAGAUUUGAGAAGGGAAAACGUAAAGUUUUGUACUUUAGUGUUUGAUGCUGAAGUAGAUUGAAUUUUCCCUCUCUCCGAUCAAAUUCUUCUCCUUUCCAAAUUUUCUGCUCAAAUCUAAAAAAUUCCAGGAGCGGAGCGGAAUUUAAAAUGAGCGAGCUCUGCUUCUAGGCCUCCCCGAAAAGCUUGCAGAAAGAUAGGUGCUUGGAUGGGAGUGGACGUAGGAGCAGGGAGUGUUGCGAGGAGGGGAAUUAGUACCAUCAUCUGCUGUGUUGCAGUAGUGAAGUGAUCAGACAUCGGUAUGGCAUCUGCUGGCCUAGGGAAUGGUGGAGUUGGCAGUUCAAGGUAUGUUAGACAAUAAAUAUGGCAUAAGUGAUGAGGCAUUUUCCCUCUCUGCAAGUGUUAACCUCACCCUGUAUGGGAUUAUGAAAAGGAGGGGUUUUCUUUUGCUUUGCGUUGCAAGGGAUAGAUGGAGACUUAAUUUACUAUAUUAGCCUUAUGAGUUUACGGACCUUCUAAUAUUUCAUAGCGGGCCUAGAAUUGAUUUUCCGAGAACGGGAAACGUAAUUGACUUUAUAUAUUUGAUGAAGCUUGAAGUAGCUUCUACCAGACAACCCCUCAUUUCUUUAUGGUAAUUGAGCUUCAUCUCUAAUUAUUUAUUGUCUGAUUAGAUUAUUAUAAUAUUUGGGUUGUUGGAUAUGUUGGAUUUGAAUUGAUUUUUUGUUUUCAUUUUUCAUGGUGAUGGAUUUUCGAAUGAAAUGCACUCAACCUGAAUUCCAGUGGGGGUGGCUGAAGCAGCUGCCGGAUAUGACUUAUGGCAGCCAAGGUUCCCUUAUUGUCAUGCUUUUAGUUUUAUUAAAUAUGACAAGUUGAUAUAAAUAUAUAUGUACAUAGAGAACUUACAUCUCUUGAUAGAUUGUGUUGCUAGAUAGUUUUUCACGUUCCUGCUCAAAAUAAAGUUUAUCAUGUUAUUCUGUCCAACUAUUGAUUUGGAACAACGUUAUGUAAAUACUUUAUUCUGUCCAACUAUUGAUUUGGAACAACGUUAUGUAAAUGCUUUUCACACACCAUACUUAUAACACAUUAGUCCUGUAUUUGAAGACUUAUAUACAAUACUUAUAAUUCGGAUGAAGAGAUCCUGAUCUUUGUUUUUGGGAGUUUUUUUACGCUCUGCUUUUUGAGCGAAUCUUUGUUUAUCAUUUUUUAUCAUAACACGGUCAUAUGGUGUUACUGUCCGUCCUUUUAGUUAUUAAAAUCUGCUUUUUUGAGUUGUACAUAGAACUCUUAACGUAGAAUUAGUAAAAUGCAGGUGCAGAAUGAACGACUAAUCAAUGUGAGAGAAGCUUUUAAAUUUUUUGGGUUCAAUUUUAAAUGGGUUGUUAUCAACCAUUGAAUUGCUUUUGGAGUUUUCAUUUGAUAAGAGAGAUGGGGGAUUCUUUUGGGUGAAACUUUUAAUCCGUGAGAUUUUUAGUUAGGUUGUGUUGUCGGUUUUUGCAAAUUUCUACCGUGUUUAUGCAUGCAUUUUUUGUUAUAGAUUUGGAGGAAAAUAGCAUUACAGGGUGUUGAGGGUUUGUUGGUGGGGGAAGGCAGCAGCGUUAAGAUUUUGCAGGUGAGAUAUUAGGGUGAGAGAAAAAGGGGACAAAGAGCAUCGAAGACACAUUUGGGAUUAGGGGUAGCAAAACAGGGGAAAAGAAUAUGACAGAGGAAUGGACUCUUAAUUUUUUUCUUAACUGGUUUGGGAUUUUUCUUGCCUUUGGGGUCGUCAUUGGCGUCAAGCAUUUGGUGUCAAGCGGUGUCUGUUUUUUUCAUAAUUUUUAUGUCGUUUGCGAUUUUCUAUCCUAGGAUUUUUGAAUUUUAUCGUUCAGGUUUUUAAAAUUUUUUUUGUCUUCGUUUGUUUGUUUUAUAUGUUGUGUUUGUGCUGGGACGCCGUUUUGCAAGUUCUCUUUCCAUUGGGACCGCUGCAUUUUUAAAGUGUUGAGGGGGAUCACUACAGUUUGGGAGUCAAAAUCACCACACUACCCCAUCAAGGGUUCAGAUCUUGCUGUCAGGUGAUAUGAGAGAGGGGGUUGGAUGGUAAUUUUGUCCGUAGGAUUUCAGACGGAUUGGGAUGGGGUAGGGACUUUGUUCAUUUAGUUUAUUUCUGUGUGUGUGUGUGUGUGUGAGAGAGAGAGAGAGAGAGAGAGAGAGAGAGAGAGGGGAAGAGGGAGGGGUGAGGAUGUCUGUGUCGAUCUUUGAUUCAGUGAGUGAGAGUAUGACGGUGAAACAGAGGGGGAUCAUCGGGAUUUCAGGGAGAAAAACACAGAGAGAGGGGUGAUGGUGAACAGGCGCGAGUAUGGUCCCUUAGUCCGGGAUUCACUCUUCAUCGUCCAUACUCUAUUGCAUGCUCAGAUAAGUGUCUUUUUCAAUUACAUUUUGUACUAAAAUCUCUGUUUUUUUUAUUGUUUCUUGCAUUUAUAUCUGCGUGAAUGUGGUGAUUGAAAAGCCCAAAAACAAAUUUUCCAAAUCUUUUUGUACUGUUUUGUUAUGUUAGGCAGCAUGGUUUUUGGUUUUUAAUUUUUUUGUUUUUAUUUUUAUUUUUUUAAUCAGUUGGGGGAUUUUCUGGGCGUCUAUUUAUUUGUUUGCCCUUUGGUUUGUUUUUCAUUCUGGGUUCCCCUCUUUCAUUAGAGAGUACAAAAAUUCCAAAGGUAAACAUCCAUUCCCUUGCUUCCCUUUUCUGUCCAUAACCAAGAAUCGGUGAAAUAAGUGUGGUUCUUGGAUCUGCGGUCUGAAACAAAAAAAUAUGUCUAUUCUCUGUUCCAGCUAAUGUAUCUGUGAUUUCUUUGCAGGACGCUACUGCAACACUCAAGUCCGUUUGGAAAAUGGAGAGCACACGACUUAAGUAUCUCGGGCACAAGGUAAAAUGUACCCUUUACUAAUGUAUGCAUCCAUGCACUAGAUCUGUGAAUUUUAAUUAUGCAUGUGCACUCUCUGUGCCAAAAGUUUUUAGAUCCGAAGCGGUCAUGAUGCUAAGUUAGGAAGGUUAAUUUUGUCCUACGGUUUUGGGACGGAUUGGGAUGGGUCUAGGUGGCUGUCAUUCGAUGAGGGUUUGGUGAAUGAGAGCCAUGCCGCCUUUGCAUAGAGAGAGAGGGAGUAGUAGGUCAUGUUUUAUUGUCUUCACUGCACCAUUAGUUUGAUUGCCUAUCCCUGUGUAUUUGAUAUUGUCUGGAAGAUCACUUCUAAUUCCUAUAAUAAUCAGAUACUCAAUCUUCAAUCCUGCUUAGUAGCAGUGAUCACCACCUGUUUCAUGAAAGGUACACGUGAAAUAGUUGUUAAUAUUUGGGGACCAACAGAGCUCCUUAUUUUGGGGGUUUGUUUAUGUUUUUGGCAGGAGAACGAUUUGGAGCAAGUGACUCAAAAAGUUAAACUUCGAUAUCAAAAUUAAUGGAAACCCGUUCGUAUGAUUUCUUCAUCUGAAAUUUUUGAUUGCCCAAUUGGUUGUUUCAUCAAUUAAUUGUAUGCAAACAUUUAUGUGUAAUUUUUUACUUCUUCCACUUAAAUGGUAAGAUCAAGUUAAGCUAAGAACUUUGGGUUUUGUAAAUGUUGUGUAAUUAAAUUAUUCAUAUUAUCAAUUAAUUUUGAGCAAACAUUUCUGGGUA